GAAGUUUCUUUCUGAGUUGCUCUUGUUCUUUCUUUCUCAAAAACUCUAUAAACAAAUAUCUGAAAUGGAAUUUGCGAUAUAGGUGAUGAAUCAGUUGCAUCCCAGGAUGGAUAUUUCCUUAAAAGAUUUGACUCCACGUCACCAUAGUCCACUGCUGGCAUUAGUGAGUCUGGCUCUCUAUUAUAAUCAGGGUUCAUGGCGAGGAAACGUUUUGUAUA
This 218-nucleotide unclassified non-coding RNA is filed under the name Hevea brasiliensis (rubber tree). Lineage: Eukaryota; Viridiplantae; Streptophyta; Magnoliopsida; Malpighiales; Euphorbiaceae. The record is from RNAcentral.